UUUUCGUUUCCCGAAAUUUUCGACUCGAGAAAAACAUAUCCAGAAUCUAGACUUUUGUACUUGUUUGAAGAACACAGAGGCAACUGGAUUGAAGCUGCUAAGCAAUGUGAAAGGGCAGAAGGAACUUUAGCAACUGCUAUGUACAAAAUCUGUACUUUGGGAUACCUAAAACAAGGAGUUAUCUAUUUCAUUGGAGAUGAGAAAUCAUCGGAAAUAUGGAGAUGGAUAAAUGGUUCUCCCAUUAACAAGACAUACUGGGCUCCAGUGAAUUUUUCGACCACAGAAUCAACUUUAUUCGACACUCCUGAUCAAACAACACUUUUCGAAGAAUCUUCAAAAUCCUAUGG
Long non-coding RNA from Saccostrea echinata, 347 nucleotides. RefSeq lists it as uncharacterized. The record is from RefSeq and is a predicted model, not a curated record. Lineage: Eukaryota; Metazoa; Mollusca; Bivalvia; Ostreida; Ostreidae. The transcript has 3 exons.